UUGAGCCUGUGGCUACAGUUAAACCUGUAGUUGAGCCUGUGGCUACAGUUAAACCUGUAGUUGAGCCUGUGGCUGCAUAUAAACCUGUAGUUGAGCCUGUGGCUGCAUAUAAACCUGUAGUUGAGCCUGUGGCUGCAGUUAAACCUGUAGGUAAACCUGUAGUUGAGCCUGUAGUUGAGCCUGUGGCUGCAGUUAAACCUGUAGUUGAGCCUGUGGCUACAGUUAAGCCUGUAGUUGAGCCUGUGGCUGCAGUUAAGCCUGUAGUUGAGCCUGUGGCUACAGUUAAGCCUGUAGUUGAGCCUGUGGCUGCAGUUAAGCCUGUAGUUGAGCCUGUGGCUGCAGUUAAAACUGUAAAUGAGGAGUCAACAUCUGCCACUCAAGUCGUGGCAGAUGAUAUAAUAGCACCUGCAUCAGAACCUGCAUCAGAACCUACACCAUCCCCUUGUGGGGGUCAGGUUCCAUCACUCAUUCAGCAACAGGAGGAUGCUGAACCACAGCAUCAGAUAGUCCAUGACUUUCGUCACACCGAUGCGGGUUGUGCGGUAAGGCCUUAGGGGACAUGACGACCGCCAUGUUCGUGCAUGGGAGAGUGAUCCACUGUGAUGGCUGCUUUAUUAAAACCAUGUAGGCCCCAGGGCUUCUCAUCACCUUGACACAGAGGGCACAGCAGUGUCAUCCCUGGAACAUCCCUAUCACCAACACAACCAUUUUGACAGAUUACUUGCUAGCAUUGUUCAACAUUUUUUUUGUAAGAUGUUAUAUUUCCAGAGUUAUCAUCAAUUUUCCUAGCCUGACACUGAAUGCCAUUUUUUGUGAAUGUAAGACUUUUCUGUAAACAAAUAAUUCGUUUUUUCCCCAUUUAUUGUGUUUUCACCAUGUGGAGGGCAUGUAUAUCUGUAAUGAGAAAAAAUAUAUAAAUGAUUUAUGGCAGUUUCCAUAAUUUGUCAAUUAACUUCUAAUAACAUUGGUCUUGUUUGUUGUUGUGCAU
Molecule: long non-coding RNA, 988 nt
Organism: Salvelinus sp. IW2-2015
Lineage: Eukaryota; Metazoa; Chordata; Actinopteri; Salmoniformes; Salmonidae
Source: RefSeq, a predicted model, not a curated record